Molecule: ribosomal RNA, 762 nt
Filed under: uncultured bacterium
Lineage: Bacteria
Description: bacterial SSU rRNA
Rfam family: Bacterial small subunit ribosomal RNA
Source: RNAcentral
AGAGUUUGAUCCUGGCUCAGGACGAACGCUGGCGGCGUGCUUAACACAUGCAAGUCGAACGGUAAGGCCCUUUCGGGGGUACACGAGUGGCGAACGGGUGAGUAACACGUGGGUAAUCUGCCCUGCACUUCGGGAUAAGCCUGGGAAACCGGGUCUAAUACCGGAUAUGAGCUCCUGCCGCAUGGUGGGGGUUGGAAAGUUUUUCGGUGCAGGAUGAGUCCGCGGCCUAUCAGCUUGUUGGUGGGGUAAUGGCCUACCAAGGCGACGACGGGUAGCCGGCCUGAGAGGGUGAUCGGCCACACUGGGACUGAGACACGGCCCAGACUCCUACGGGAGGCAGCAGUAGGGAAUCUUCCGCAAUGGACGAAAGUCUGACGGAGCAACGCCGCGUGAGUGAUGAAGGUUUUCGGAUCGUAAAGCUCUGUUGUUAGGGAAGAACAAGUGCCGUUUGAAUAAGGCGGCACCUUGACGGUACCUAACCAGAAAGCCACGGCUAACUACGUGCCAGCAGCCGCGGUAAUACGUAGGUGGCAAGCGUUGUCCGGAAUUAUUGGGCGUAAAGCGCGCGCAGGCGGGUCUCUUAAGUCUGAUGUGAAAGCCCACGGCUCAACCGUGGAGGGUCAUUGGAAACUGGGAGACUUGANUACAGAANAGGAGAGUGNAAUUCCACGUGUANCGGUGAAAUGCGUAGAUAUGUGGANGAACNNCAGUGGCNNAGGCGACUCUCUGGGUCUGNNACUGACGCUGAGGCGCGAAAGCGUG